UGGGGAAUAUUGGACGAUGGGGGCAACCCUGAUCCAGCCAUGCCGCGUGCGUGAAGAAGGCCUUAGGGUUGUAAAGCGCUUUCAGCGGGGACGAUGAUGACGGUACCCGCAGAAGAAGACCCGGCUAACUCCGUGCCAGCAGCCGCGGUAAUACGGAGGGGGCAAGCGUUGUUCGGAAUUACUGGGCGUAAAGGGCGCGUAGGCGGCACAUCAAGUCAGAGGUGAAAGGCCCGGGCUCAACCUGGGACGUGCCUUUGAAACUGAUUGUCUUGAGUGCGGAAGAGGGUGACGGAAUUCCCAGUGUAGAGGUGAAAUUCGUAGAUAUUGGGAAGAACACCGGUGGCGAAGGCGGUCACCUGGUCCGCAACUGACGCUGAGGCGCGAAAGCGUGGGGAGCAAACAGGAUUAGAUACCCCCGUAGUCC
RNAcentral lists this ribosomal RNA (424 nucleotides) under uncultured prokaryote. RNAcentral's name for it is "bacterial SSU rRNA". It matches the Rfam family "Bacterial small subunit ribosomal RNA", at positions 355 to 796 of the family's 1533-position model. The record is from RNAcentral.